CCUACGGGAGGCAGCAGUGAGGAAUAUUGGUCAAUGGGCGUAAGCCUGAACCAGCCAAGUCGCGUGAGGGAUGAAGGUUCUAUGGAUCGUAAACCUCUUUUAUAAGGGAAUAAAGUGCGGGACGUGUCCCGUUUUGUAUGUACCUUAUGAAUAAGGAUCGGCUAACUCCGUGCCAGCAGCCGCGGUAAUACGGAGGAUCCGAGCGUUAUCCGGAUUUAUUGGGUUUAAAGGGUGCGUAGGCGGCCUUUUAAGUCAGCGGUGAAAGUCUGUGGCUCAACCAUAGAAUUGAAGUUGAAACUGGGAGGGUUGAGUAUGUUUGAGGCAGGCGGAAUGCGUGGUGUAGAGGUGAAAUGCUUAGAUAUCACGCAGAACCACGAUUGCGAAGGCAGCAUGCCAAGCCAUGACUGACGCUGAUGCACGAAAGCGUGGGGAUCAAACAGGAUUAGAUACCCUUGUAGUA
RNAcentral lists this ribosomal RNA (460 nucleotides) under uncultured bacterium. Its description in RNAcentral is "partial 16S ribosomal RNA". It matches the Rfam family "Bacterial small subunit ribosomal RNA", at positions 338 to 795 of the family's 1533-position model. The record is from RNAcentral.